CUGGUUCUGAAGGUGAAGUUUUCACGUGGCCUAGGUUGUCAAACGUCCCGUUCCUUUUAAUUUCAUCCCACAUAUCUUUUGCAGUGAAGCCCUGGGAAUUGCCAGAUAUAAGGAAGCAGGGACAUUCUGAUACAUGUACAUCAGGUGUCUCCUGUGCUGCAAUGGCAUAAGUCAAUGGAGGCUGCCUAUCUGCUGACUUGUGGUAUAAAGUCACUACAUGCACUCCAUCUUCUUUCACUAUCUUUGAGUUGAGGUGAUGACCAGAAAAUCCAGAGUCCCC
RNAcentral lists this unclassified non-coding RNA (280 nucleotides) under Hevea brasiliensis (rubber tree). The record is from RNAcentral. Lineage: Eukaryota; Viridiplantae; Streptophyta; Magnoliopsida; Malpighiales; Euphorbiaceae.